RNAcentral lists this long non-coding RNA (1922 nucleotides) under Homo sapiens (human). RNAcentral describes it as "HSALNT0387010". Lineage: Eukaryota; Metazoa; Chordata; Mammalia; Primates; Hominidae. The record is from RNAcentral.
GAAAAAAAAAAAAAAAAGACAAGAUUUCAACAAAAGUCCACCUAAUUCCUUAUAUAAUCCUUCAUAAUUAUGCAGAUCCCAUUAUAUUGACUUAUCCUUUUACAUGACUAGCUCCCUCUCUAAAUGGGGAGAUCUUAGAGGGCAGAGGCUGGGUCUUAUUGAUUUAUGGAUUCUCAAUGCAUGACCCAAUGCUUGGUGCAUAGUGAGUGAUGGGUUGAUGGAUAAUUACAAGUAACUGAACGUUGUCUAACUUCUCCAUGGGUGGGAAAUGGGAGAGAAUAAGGGAAGAAAUUCAGUCCUGGAGAAGCUUUCAGUAGUCUCAUAGGAAACAUCUGUAGGUCUAAAGGGGAAAACCAGUGUCUGCAAUUGACUAGAAUGCACUGCUAGGGCAGGGACUGCUGGGGCAGGGAAACUACUGGGGAAGGGGCUGCUAGGUGCUAUUGUUAUUGAUAAUAAUAAAUGGCAUUUACCAAAACAAAAACUAAUAUGUUCCUGAAUCUGCGCUAAGUGCCUUUAUUUAUGUGACCUUAUAUAAUUCCCACAAGAACUCCAUGUAGUUCUUGAAGUUCAUGACUAAUAAUGAACUAUGACUGUGCCCUUUAUAUAGAUUGGAAAAUUGAAGCUGGAAAGUGAAGGAGCCUUUGAAGAGCAGAAGCAGAAGGCUUCCAGUUCAGAUCUGUCUCUCUGCAGAGCUCUCCUUUGUUCUAGCCAGUUUCCAUCUUCUUGGUGUUGCUAAGACAAGCUGUUACUAAGAGGAGGCUAUCCUGACUGACGGCUCAUGCUGGUUUGAGGGUCCUUCUCUUAUUCUGCAGGAAAAGAUACAGAAACAAUGGGAAACACCCCUACAGAGCUCGAGCUUGAGGAUGUGAGCAUCGAUGAGCUUUCCUUUUCUUGGCAAGGGGUUUGGUCUUCAGCUAAAUGUGUGUUUUUGCUGAUUUUAGGGGGAUUCUAAAGCAGCACUGGUUCAUCUAGCUGGAAGUAGCCUCAGCCAAGGCCAUGCUGCUGCAAAAAGUCAAUCCUGGAGCUCAUUUGCUCUUCACUUGACAUAAGUGCUUCCUUUGGUAUUAAUUUUUUUUUUUUUUGCACCAGUGAAGGUUCUUACUUGAAACUGAUUUAACAUAUUAAGGAAAGGGAUCAAUUGAAAGAAUGUUGGGUAGCUCACAGAUGACUGGGAAGUCUGCUUUGGAUGCCUGCUGGAACAAUGGAGGUUGAGAAACAGCUAGGACCCCAGCUGAAAUCAUGCCUGUCUGGUGGAGCAUUAACAUGCUUCCAGAAGUCAAAACUAUAUAAAGGAUAUACUCCGAGAAGUAUUCCUCCCUUCUGUACCCACUCCAUCUUGUUCCUCCUAGCCAGCUCUUGAAGAGUCGGAAAUUCACUCUAAACAGGAGAAGCAGCAAUGAGAACUUCAAGAAGAGAUAUAAGCUCAUCCAAGAUCAACUGCAGAGGAGGACGAGGGAAAUUUUAUAUGGGAACAAUUAUCUGAAAAAUAGUCAUUCAUCGAUUCAAGCUCUGACAUCUUUCGGUUCUGCCAUUCCCCCAGAGAAUGUCCUCAUUUGUAUGGUCAAGGCUGGGUUGCAGAGAAGUCCAUGUUGCAGCUCAUGGAAAAAAAGAACCAAAGGGACUCAAGAACACUGGCUUAUGUCUUAGAUUGGAGAUGACCUGGAAAGUCAACUUUCACCCAUAACCCAUUGGCCUAAAGUAAGUCCCAGAGUCAACUUGAAUUGCAAGGGAUCCGGAGUAAUGCUGUUUAUACCUGGAGUGCUGGGGACCCAGCUUAAACUCUACCACCAUAGAAGACAGGGAAGAUAGAUUUUGAUGGAUGACCAGAAGUUUCUGUUACAUGUACAACAGAUUAAAAAUAUAUAUAUUGCCAGCUGGGUGUGGUGGCUCAUGCCUGUAAUCCCAGAACUUUGGGAGUCCAA